RNAcentral lists this ribosomal RNA (581 nucleotides) under Shewanella sp. RNAcentral's name for it is "bacterial SSU rRNA". It matches the Rfam family "Bacterial small subunit ribosomal RNA", at positions 349 to 923 of the family's 1533-position model. The record is from RNAcentral. Lineage: Bacteria; Pseudomonadati; Pseudomonadota; Gammaproteobacteria; Alteromonadales; Shewanellaceae.
CAGCAGUGGGGAUAUUGCACAAUGGGGGAAACCCUGAUGCAGCCAUGCCGCGUGUGUGAAGAAGGCCUUCGGGUUGUAAAGCACUUUCAGUAGGGAGGAAAGGUAGCAGCUUAAUACGCUGUUGCUGUGACGUUACCUACAGAAGAAGGACCGGCUAACUCCGUGCCAGCAGCCGCGGUAAUACGGAGGGUCCGAGCGUUAAUCGGAAUUACUGGGCGUAAAGCGUGCGCAGGCGGUUUGUUAAGCGAGAUGUGAAAGCCCCGGGCUCAACCUGGGAAUUGCAUUUCGAACUGGCGAACUAGAGUCUUGUAGAGGGGGGUAGAAUUCCAGGUGUAGCGGUGAAAUGCGUAGAGAUCUGGAGGAAUACCGGUGGCGAAGGCGGCCCCCUGGACAAAGACUGACGCUCAGGCACGAAAGCGUGGGGAGCAAACAGGAUUAGAUACCCUGGUAGUCCACGCCGUAAACGAUGUCUACUCGGAGUUUGGUGUCUUGAACACUGGGCUCUCAAGCUAACGCAUUAAGUAGACCGCCUGGGGAGUACGGCCGCAAGGUUAAAACUCAAAUGAAUUGACGGGGCCCCC